RNAcentral lists this ribosomal RNA (496 nucleotides) under uncultured bacterium. RNAcentral's name for it is "partial 16S ribosomal RNA". It matches the Rfam family "Bacterial small subunit ribosomal RNA", at positions 28 to 507 of the family's 1533-position model. The record is from RNAcentral.
GAUGAACGCUGGCGGCGUGCCUAAUACAUGCAAGUCGAGCGAACAGACGAGGAGCUUGCUCCUCUGACGUUAGCGGCGGACGGGUGAGUAACACGUGGAUAACCUACCUAUAAGACUGGGAUAACUUCGGGAAACCGGAGCUAAUACCGGAUAAUAUAUUGAACCGCAUGGUUCAAUAGUGAAAGACGGUUUUGCUGUCACUUAUAGAUGGAUCCGCGCCGCAUUAGCUAGUUGGUAAGGUAACGGCUUACCAAGGCGACGAUGCGUAGCCGACCUGAGGGGGGUAUGGGCCAACGUGAAAGGGAGACGGGGCCAAGACCCGCGGGGGGGGCAGGGGGGGGGAAUUUUCCGAAAGGGGGAAAACCCACAGGGGGAAACGCCGGGGGGGGAGAAAGGGUUUUGGGAUGAAAAAACUUUUUUUUGAGGAAAAAAAAAAUGUGAAAGGAAAUUUCACCGUUUGAAGGGAACUAACCAAAAAGGCACGGCUAACCACGGG